GUUUUAUCACCAGGUUUAACGUACAUACUUUUUUACUUACAUUAAAAAAAAAAAAAAAAGUAGAGAAGACUGAGGCCCUUUUCUCUUUGAAUGUGCAGUAUUGCUGCAUGCUAUUAACACUGUUUCUGGCAAAUACCCGCAGAGUGGAUAGAGGAGGAUUGUUCUGUCAAAAUGCUGUGAACACAAACAUGUUUUUAGUGGGGUUUAUGAGCUAAAAUGAGAGCAGUGUGGGAUCCUGUACAGAGCAAUGGUCAGGGCUUAAACCAAAUCUCCAGUCCUCUUCCAUUGGAUUACUUCGUGACUCAUUUCCCCUCUGGUAAAUAACAUAUGAAAGUCUCUGUUAUGUCACAUUAAGUUUCACUUUCUCAGGUUCUUCCGGAGUCCUAUCAGUUCAGUUUUCCUGUGUUUGGCCACCUGACCAAAUCAUUCCAGCCUCAUCAGUGCUAGCAGACGUCCCUCCAGCAGAUGGCAGAUACUGCUCAUCCAAUGCAACCCCGACACCCUGCUCAGCACGUCAGCCCUGGGACCCGGAACACCAAUAAAACAGGAGCUAAAUCUUUAAUGGCCUGCUAAAAGCAGCUUCAUAGGUUUCUAUGGCUCCAUAUAUAUAUGACUGAAGAUGUAGACAUCUGGACCGAUGCUCCUGCUAGGGGCCAAGUGCUGCCAUCACUUUCUGCAAGAGCAUACAACAAGACCUCCC
RNAcentral lists this long non-coding RNA (700 nucleotides) under Gallus gallus (chicken). The record is from RNAcentral. Lineage: Eukaryota; Metazoa; Chordata; Aves; Galliformes; Phasianidae.